UACAGCCAUAUCAUGUUAAAACACCGGUUCCCGUACGAUCACCGAAGUUAAGCAACAUCGAGCUUGUUCAGUACCUAGAUGGGUGACCGCUUGGGAAUGUCAGGUGUUGUAAG
Non-coding RNA from Acanthosepion pharaonis, 113 nucleotides. The record is from the annotation of a GenBank genome assembly. NCBI's taxonomy places the organism in Eukaryota, Metazoa, Mollusca, Cephalopoda, Sepiida, Sepiidae.